GUGGGUAGCGGUGAAAUUCCAAUCGAGCCCGGAGAUAGCUGGUUCUCCCCGAAAUAGCUUUAGGGCUAGCCUCAAGGUGAGAGAUACGGAGGUAGAGCACUGAAUGUCCUAGGGGGUAUUGCACCUACCGAAGACUAUCAAACUCCGAAUGCCGUCAUCUUAUACUUGGGAGUCAGACUGUGGGUGAUAAGAUUCAUAGUCGAAAGGGCAACAGCCCAGAUCGUCAGCUAAGGUCCCUAAAUGUAAGUUAAGUGGUAAAGGAUGUGGGAUUGCACAGACAACCAGGAUGUUGGCUUAGAAGCAGCCACUCAUUCAAAGAGUGCGUAAUAGCUCACUGGUCGAGUGAUCCUGCGCCGAAGAUUUCCGGGGCUAAAACUUACUACCGAAGCUACGGCGUCAGGAAUGAUGGGUAGGGGAGCUUCCCAUACGGGUUGAAGCAUGACCGUAAGGACAUGUGGACAGUAUGGGAGUGAGAAUGUUGGCAUGAGUAGCGAGAUGUGGGUGAGAAUCCCACAGGCCGUAAACCCAAGGUUUCCAGGGGAAGGUUCGUCCGCCCUGGGUUAGUCGGGACCUAAGCUGAGGCCGAAAGGCGUAGGUGAUGGACAACAGGUUGAUAUUCCUGUACUACCGAUAACCGUUUGAGAGAUGGGAUGACACAGUAGGAUAAGCUAAGCACACUGUUGGUUAUGUGUGCCCAAGCAUUGAGGCAGUCAAAGUAGGCAAAUCCGCUUUGAUAAUGCUGGGAUGUGAUGGGGAGCGAAAUUUAGUAGCGAAGUAGCUGAUUUCACACUGUCAAGAAAAGUCUCUAUCGAGGUUAAAGGUACCCGUACCGCAAACCGACACAGGUGGGUGAGG
This 855-nucleotide ribosomal RNA is filed under the name Clostridioides difficile. Its description in RNAcentral is "bacterial LSU rRNA". It matches the Rfam family "Bacterial large subunit ribosomal RNA", at positions 811 to 1672 of the family's 2925-position model. The record is from RNAcentral. Lineage: Bacteria; Bacillati; Bacillota; Clostridia; Peptostreptococcales; Peptostreptococcaceae.